Molecule: non-coding RNA, 84 nt
Organism: Homo sapiens (human)
Lineage: Eukaryota; Metazoa; Chordata; Mammalia; Primates; Hominidae
Source: Rfam
AAGACUAUGCUUUCAGGGAUCAUUUCUACAGUUUGUUACUAGAGAAUUUCUCUGAACAUGUAGUUUUCAAAAAAAAAUUAGAUU